This 465-nucleotide ribosomal RNA is filed under the name uncultured bacterium. RNAcentral's name for it is "partial 16S ribosomal RNA". It matches the Rfam family "Bacterial small subunit ribosomal RNA", at positions 31 to 507 of the family's 1533-position model. The record is from RNAcentral.
GAACGCUGGCGGCGUGCUUAACACAUGCAAGUCGAACGGAAAGGCCCUGCUUUUGUGGGGUGCUCGAGUGGCGAACGGGUGAGUAACACGUGAGUAACCUGCCCUUGACUUCGGGAUAACUUCAGGAAACUGGGGCUAAUACCGGAUAGGAGCUCCUGCUGCAUGGUGGGGGUUGGAAAGUUUCGGCGGUUGGGGAUGGACUCGCGGCUUAUCAGCUUGUUGGUGGGGUAGUGGCUUACCAAGGCUUUGACGGGUAGCCGGCCUGAGAGGGUGACCGGCCACAUUGGGACUGAGAUACGGCCCAGACUCCUACGGGAGGCAGCAGUGGGGAAUAUUGCACAAUGGGCGGAAGCCUGAUGCAGCAACGCCGCGUGCGGGAUGACGGCCUUCGGGUUGUAAACCGCUUUCGCCUGUGACGAAGCGUGAGUGACGGUAAUGGGUAAAGAAGCACCGGCUAACUACGUG